RNAcentral lists this ribosomal RNA (4480 nucleotides) under Triticum aestivum (bread wheat). RNAcentral's name for it is "partial small subunit ribosomal RNA". Lineage: Eukaryota; Viridiplantae; Streptophyta; Magnoliopsida; Poales; Poaceae. The record is from RNAcentral.
UUGGGAUGCUAGCUAGAGAGCACGGGUGUCGUCUAGCAAGAGGUGGCGGUUGGUCGAGAUACGUGAGCGCUAGGUGGGGAAGCGGGGGCGGCGCUGGCUAGGUAGGGACACUGCACCGUCUAGGAUUGGGGCCCCGAAGGAGGAGGCGGUGGUAGGAUAAGGGAAGCGAGGGUAGACAGCGGAGAUAGUUCUAGCCUCUGGAGGCUGAAGACCCGGCGACGGCGGCAACGGCGUCUUGGGGUCCUGUUCCGUCCCACACCAGCGCAACGCCCGUCACUCUUCGCCGCGUACCGGCACGGGACGUAGACCAAGGAGAUGCGAGGGGAGUUAGGGGAAGUAGCGGAGGUUGUAUGUUAGAGCGGCGGUACCCUAGCGGCGGCUCGGUUCGUAGUGGUACUACCGCCUUCCUUCUCGUUCUCCCCCAGUAGCUCCGACCCACGGCGGCACUCCUACGACCUCAGGUACGUGCCACUACCAUAACACCGCUUUCUUCCAGUAGAAGGACCCCUCGGUGCGCUACCGGCGGCAGAGGUGGGUGCCGGCACGGUUGUUCUGUCCUAUUUCCGUUCACAAGAUAAACACGUAACACUACCGUUAAAAGAACCUAUUGUCUGCUUCGCUAUAACCUCCUCAUGUGCCCACCCUACUGUCUACUAUUUGAACUAUGCCCACACAACAACUGACAGUAGGUUGGCUGCACGGAUCUGUCCGAUGUAUAACCGUACUACCUGAAGAUACCAUUUUCCUGUAAUACGUCGUACAUUUACACUGAAGAAGUAGAGACAACAGGAACUACUGUACAAAUAGAACGGACUAUCUCUCUUGCUGUCACUAAUAAAACAAGAAGGGAGCGAACAUAACGUCCCAAAAGCAUCCUUGUAUUAAGUCACAGGCGAUUACAUGACUUUUUUUUGUAUAAACAAGAAGAACGAACAGUGGUUCGUCCAUAAGAAUGCACCGAGGUUAGUUUAGUGGCUACAUACCUAAGUGAAUUUAGUGAACAUAAUAGACAUCCUCCGACAUUAAUUGGUAUAUUUCAAGAACGACUAAUAUUUUACAUACGAAGAAAAAUGAUGUUAUAUUUUGUACAUAAAAAGAGCCAAUAAACACCCCGUGGUAGAUGUUCACAUACAUUUGUACAAUUACUUGAGUUCAAUUAACUACACCUGAGUUCACAGGAGUAUCUUCCUUGAUUGAGAGGUUUAAUCCAUUUCUUGUACCGACCAGUAGACAAACGUUUUACAAACGUUUUAAACUCAACAACGUACGAUGAACGCACAUACUUUCUCAAUUACGUUAAGUGUUAUACAAUUAUGAGGUAAAAACUCAUGUCUAUUGGUAAAGUCCCCGUACGGAUUGGCACGGAUCCUGUUAUAGACUUUGAAUGAGUAUUAUACGGAUUGAUACACGGUUUGAUUAUACUAUUGUACAAGAUGAGUAUAUCAAAACAAAAAGUAAACCCGACACACCUAGGAUAUAAACUCCGAAAUUCAAAGUCGAUGCAUGUUUUAUUGUGAUUAAAAAAGAAAUAUAAAACAAUUAAACGGAAAGAUACUAAAGAAUUAUCAACAACUCUUAAGAAAGAAUGUGUGAAGUGUGAAAAGUCCCUUUGUUUCUGAAUUCACUACAAUGAGUACAAUAUCAUCUACUUCAUGUACUUGCGUGAUAAAACCAUACAUGAACGAGCACAUACAAAAAAGAAAUACACGAUGUUUUACAGAACAAAGAGGGAUAUACUAUCUACUUCGUGUACCAAUUAGGACUAAGCGGGGAAAGUCUCGUUGAAAAACGACUAACAAGAAUUCUCAGAACAACUUUUGCGAGAUUAGUUGGUCCUUCUUUCGACUUUCACUAAGAGUACAUCACAGGUAAGAGAAUAUAUAAUAACGUAUCUGAAUACUGAACUUAGUCUUUAAAACUAAAGACAACAUUAAAGCAUUCAUCAAUUUGCCCUCUGAAAACAACAUUUAACCGGUCUAUUUUUUUGCCAAAACGAUUAAAUGUCAGCUCACUAAAUGUUAACCAAAAGUAAGUUUAAAAAACCGGCAAACUAGAGUACGAAUCUAGGCGCGACCCUCGACCGAAAAGGAACACUAAAAAAAGAGAGACAAUGACCCACGCGAAAACAAAGGGUCGAUCGGGCAAUGACAGGUAGGGAACCCGGGACCGAGAGAGAAAUAGAAAAAAAUAAAACUAAGAACAGGAAAGCGUAAAGGACGCUCUCAACUUCGACUCUUUCCCUCGGCUAAGAACCGCUAAAGGAGCAGUAGGUACCACUAAGGCUAGAGGAGGAGGAGGAGAAGUCGAACUAAAGGCAAGGUCACAGCCCACUAAAGUCAACCAAUAGGACCAGAAGAGGGAAAGGGGGAACUUAAAGCAAAUCCAGAAAACCAAACUAAACUAAGGGGAACAUAAACUAAAUCUACAUCCACAUACAAUCAGCAUCUCCACCUAAAAGGACCGCUGAAAAAACGUCAAUGUCACCAUCAUCGUACCUACAUCGCUACCUAGGCUAAGGGGACAACCAAAAGAAAGACGAUUGGACCCGUAACCUAAGACGACCGGAAAAAACGACAAUCUACGUCCCCACACACAAACAUCCAUCAUCAACGUAGAUUCAAUGUAGUUAUUGACAAGUUAAAGUCACCUUAAAGGUGAGUUUAGUGUCUCAUCACUGUGACGUUAAAGGUCUCAAUUGGUGUUACGUUAAAAACGACAUUGAAGACACUAAAAAUCAAAUGUCGGUGGCGUUAAUGUUACAUUAAAUGCUCAUAAUAUCAAGAUAAAAAUCACAUAAAAAUCCAAUUAAUGUGAUCUAAUGUUACUUUAAAAGUUACGUUAAUUUCAUGAAAAACCACCACCACCACCCCCCCACGGAUACAACCCAGAGGUUCGUAAGAUCUUGGAAAAAGAAACACCAAACAGAAACAACCCAUCAUAAACAUAGUUAGAAUAUUGGGAAAAAAAGAUACAAAAGACAUCACAACGUAGAUUCAGAUGUCGUCGAGGUUCUAACAUUAGAGUAAAAUCAAUGUCACAUUAAAGGAGACUUUAAUGUCUCAUUAGUAUCACAAGAAUGUCACAUAAACAUUAACGUCACAUUAAAAGUACCAUUCAUGUGACAUUUAGGGUGAUGAUACAAUGACAUUAAUGUCACGUUAAAAAGAUAUUAAAUGUCACAACAAUAUCACAUUAAAGGUACCCAUUAGUGUCACGUAAAAAUGAUCUUAUAAAUGUAAUAAAUGUCAGUCACGUUAAUGUACAUUUAUGUCACAUUAAAGUCAUUUUAAUGUUACCAGUAAUCUGACAUUUAGUGUUACAGAUACAAUCCAUCACAACGUAGAUAAGUGCGACAGUUAUAUAUGACUUAGAUAGAAACACAGUCUUUGGAACAACACGUGUACACGAACAGAACUAUUAUCAUUAAAGUCAUAAAAAACAACGAUGACAUUUAAAAUCAAAGAAAACGGGACCACGAAAACUUUGUUUUGUAUGGUCAAAGGAACUAAAAUUGAUCUCACGAGACACGUUAUGUGAGACAGUUUACCUUUCUUAAACACUAGAGAUUAAAAUAAAGAACAUUAAAAUGUACAAGAUCUAGAGUUUCUUUAAGUGCUACGUACUCGUUUCUGUAACAUUAACUUCCUAAAGGUGGGACACCUAGUAGAGAACAUACUAGAACGUACCAAGAGGGGGUUAAUCAUCAGCACUGAAACCGCAAACAGAAACGGGGUUAACCUUAACUUCCUAAAGAUUGAGGUACCAAGAAACAAACACAAACAGAAACGGGAAAGAAAAAUAAAGAGUAAAGGAGGUACAUUCAUGAAAUUAAAAAGGAAAGAACAAACCACAAAUAGAAAUGGUAAAGAAAAAAUAUAGAGUAAAGAAUAUAUAUCUAAAAGAAAUAUAAUAAGACGGAACAACGUCAACACGAAGGGACAUUGGUAAGUUUUCGUAACCAAAAAGAAAGAAGCAAACGAAAGGAUCUAGAUCGAAAGAUACUCGACAGACUUAAAGUGAACGUCUAAUCCUACUACCUUUAAGUCUUAACUAAGAUUAAAGAAUAAACUAGGGAAAAAUGUCUGACACUUAAUUGUUACCACCUCUUCCGAAAAAACGAACUCUCUCUACAACUUGAAGAAAAAAGAGUGAUACCUAUCCCGUCACACAUACAACCAAGUCACACAUCAGUAGAUAUCUUCUCAGUCACACAUACAACCAAGUCGACACAGAGAUAUUAGGCAUCUACUGUACUCCAUGAUAUGAACGUACCAAAAGAAUGAUAUUAAAGUUCCAAAAAGUGGACGAACAGUACUUACGUUCACACAGAUCGGGUUGGCUGUAUGUAUGUAUGUAUUGUUGAGUACUGAACCCCGACGUUUGAGUACUGAACACUGAACCAAGUCGAAACAGAAACUCUAAGACUGUUCAAGACCAGUAUUAUAGUAAUUAUUAGUGUGUUAUUAAAAUCUUCAAGGUC